CCAUCAUGAUUAAUUUAAACAAAAAAAAAAGUUAAAAUAUUUGUUUGAAACAAGUUUUUAAAAACGUUUCUCUAAAGAUACAUUACAACAUGAGUACCAGUAAUACAUUGCAAGAAAUGUUUCUCUAAAGAUACAUUAGAACAUGGGUACCGGUAAUACAUUGCAAGAAAAAUUAAUAUCAGACCCCCUCUUUCUCAAAGCACUCAUUUCAGUAUAGAACAAUAAUUUUUCUAUACAGUUAAACAAAAUAGCAGAGUGCCCCAAUAGACGUAGUCUUCAAGUCUGAAGAGUGCAGUAGGCCUAUAUUACAUAGCUAUGCAGCUCCUUCUGUGACCUGCAUAUAGUAGACAAAACAUGUCUGCCAGAUGUUAUACAUUCUCUGUUUGCACUUUUAUCGUUGGUUGCAUUGUUUGGUUCUGAAAUGUAAUGUUCCGUUAGCUUGAGCCUUUUUUGUAGGCCACUGACUUUCGUUAUGGGAAAGCUGAUAUUCAAUGUGUUCAAUGGACCUUUGUAACUCAAAGCUACUA
Molecule: non-coding RNA, 527 nt
Organism: Biomphalaria pfeifferi
Lineage: Eukaryota; Metazoa; Mollusca; Gastropoda; Planorbidae
Source: the annotation of a GenBank genome assembly